UACGUAGGGACCGAGCGUUGUCCGGAAUUAUUGGGCGUAAAGAGCGUGUAGGCGGCCCGAUUAGUCCGCUGUGAAAGUCCAGGGCUCAACCCUGGAAUGCCGGUGGAUACUGUCGGGCUAGAGUCCGGAAGGGGCGAGUGGAAUUCCUGGUGUAGCGGUGAAAUGCGCAGAUAUCAGGAGGAACACCAAUGGCGAAGGCAGCUCGCUGGGACGUGACUGACGCUGAGACGCGAAAGCGUGGGGAGCAAACAGG
This 253-nucleotide ribosomal RNA is filed under the name uncultured bacterium. RNAcentral's name for it is "partial 16S ribosomal RNA". It matches the Rfam family "Bacterial small subunit ribosomal RNA", at positions 524 to 776 of the family's 1533-position model. The record is from RNAcentral.